UACGAGGGGGGCGAGCGUUGUUCGGAAUUAUUGGGCGUAAAGGGUGCGUAGGCGGUUUGGUAAGUCUGAUGUGAAAUCUAUGGGCUCAACUCAUAGUCUGCAUCGGAAACUGCCGGGCUUGAGUGUGGGAGAGGUGAGUGGAAUUCCUGGUGUAGCGGUGGAAUGCGCAGAUAUCAGGAGGAACACCGGUGGCGAAGGCGGGUCUCUGGGCAGUAACUGACGCUGAGGAGCGAAAGCGUGGGGAGCGAACAGG
Molecule: ribosomal RNA, 253 nt
Filed under: uncultured bacterium
Lineage: Bacteria
Description: partial 16S ribosomal RNA
Rfam family: Bacterial small subunit ribosomal RNA
Source: RNAcentral